CCUACGGGGGGCUACAGUGGGGAAUAUUGGACAAUGGGCGAAAGCCUGAUCCAGCCAUGCCGCGUGUGUGAAGAAGGCCUUCGGGUUGUAAAGCACUUUCAGUGGGGAAGAAAGCCUUGGGGCUAAUACCCUCGAGGAAGGACAUCACCCACAGAAGAAGCACCGGCUAACUCCGUGCCAGCAGCCGCGGUAAUACGGAGGGUGCGAGCGUUAAUCGGAAUUACUGGGCGUAAAGCGCGCGUAGGCGGUCUGAUAAGCCGGUUGUGAAAGCCCCGGGCUCAACCUGGGAACGGCAUCCGGAACUGUCAGGCUAGAGUGCAGGAGAGGAAGGUAGAAUUCCCGGUGUAGCGGUGAAAUGCGUAGAGAUCGGGAGGAAUACCAGUGGCGAAGGCGGCCUUCUGGACUGACACUGACGCUGAGGUGCGAAAGCGUGGGUAGCAAACAGGAUUAGAUACCCCAGUAGUC
This 465-nucleotide ribosomal RNA is filed under the name Vreelandella stevensii. RNAcentral describes it as "partial 16S ribosomal RNA". It matches the Rfam family "Bacterial small subunit ribosomal RNA", at positions 338 to 795 of the family's 1533-position model. The record is from RNAcentral. Lineage: Bacteria; Pseudomonadati; Pseudomonadota; Gammaproteobacteria; Oceanospirillales; Halomonadaceae.